Molecule: ribosomal RNA, 870 nt
Filed under: uncultured Bacteroidota bacterium
Lineage: Bacteria; Pseudomonadati; Bacteroidota
Description: bacterial SSU rRNA
Rfam family: Bacterial small subunit ribosomal RNA
Source: RNAcentral
GGAUCCAGACUUUGAUCAUGCGCUCAGGAUGAACGCUAGCUACAGGCUUAACACAUGCAAGUCGAGGGGCAGCAUGUUGGUUGCUUGCAACCAAUGAUGGCGACCGGCGCACGGGUGAGUAACGCGUAUCCAACCUACCCUUGUCCAUCGGAUAACCCGUCGAAAGGCGGCCUAACACGAUAUGCGGUUCACGGCAGGCAUCUAACGUGAACGAAAUGUGAAGGAGAAAGAUGGGGAUGCGUCUGAUUAGCUUGUUGGCGGGGUAACGGCCCACCAAGGCUACGAUCAGUAGGGGUUCUGAGAGGAAGGUCCCCCACAUUGGAACUGAGACACGGUCCAAACUCCUACGGGAGGCAGCAGUGAGGAAUAUUGGUCAAUGGACGAGAGUCUGAACCAGUCAAGUAGCGUGCAGGAUGACGGCCCUAUGGGUUGUAAACUGCUUUUAUAGGGGGAUAAAGUGUGCCACGUGUGGCAUAUUGCAGGUACCCUAUGAAUAAGGACCGGCUAAUUCCGUGCCAGCAGCCGCGGUAAUACGGAAGGUCCAGGCGUUAUCCGGAUUUAUUGGGUUUAAAGGGAGCGUAGGCCGUUUGGUAAGCGUGUUGUGAAAUGUCGGGGCUCAACCUGGGCAUUGCAGCGCGAACUGCCAGACUUGAGUGCGCAGGAAGUAGGCGGAAUUCGUCGUGUAGCGGUGAAAUGCUUAGAUAUGACGAAGAACUCCGAUUGCGAAGGCAGCCUGCUGUAGCGCAACUGACGCUGAAGCUCGAAAGCGUGGGUAUCGAACAGGAUUAGAUACCCUGGUGGUCCACGCGGUAAACGAUGGAUGCUCGCUGUUUGCGUCUGACGUAAGCGGCCAAGCGAAAGCGUUAAGCA